Marmota flaviventris (yellow-bellied marmot) is the source of this 1144-nucleotide long non-coding RNA. RefSeq lists it as uncharacterized. The record is from RefSeq and is a predicted model, not a curated record. NCBI's taxonomy places the organism in Eukaryota, Metazoa, Chordata, Mammalia, Rodentia, Sciuridae.
AGGCCGUGCUUGGGUGUGGGCAGCAGCGAGGCCGUGACCACGGCUGCCGGCCCCGCCCUCGUUUUCCUUACUGUUAACAGGGGUGCUGGUUCCAGGCAGGGAUGCACACGGGUCACCAGCAGUGACUUCCUGCUCCUCUAGGCCACCACAGCCCACUUCAGGUCUUUGAAUUAUCCGGGUGGCCUUCCAGCCACCUUAUUUGGGAUGUUAGGCCAAGUGGUCGCCAGGGGUUGUUGAGUCCUGACCCUCUGCCUCACGAGUGCAGAUGUGACCCAUCAGGUAGACGAGACCCCGGUGACAAUACUCUCCAGAACUUGUCUCUAAGCUGGGUGUGAGAGACAGCUCUUCUGAGGAGUGGCUUGAAGGAUCCCCUGUAUUAACAAGUGGAGCACUUCUCCACAGUGAGCAUUGUCCUCGCCCAGUGAACUGGAGCUCAGAUCUUCUUGACAUGACAAUUUUCCUGAGAUGUGGGGGGGGCUGUGAUGCAAAUUCCCACGUUUGUUGCUCCUUAGCAGUUUCAGAUAGUCUGUACCAGCAGCCUUCCUCCCAUGGGACAAGUGUGAUUUGAUGCAGAAUGACACUGUAGUUGUUUCCAUGGACUCCAUUCUACCCCUCUGUAGCUUCACAGAUGCCUAGGGAAUGACCCCAGAAGGCCCUGAGUGGUCUAACUCCAUCAGCCUGUGGUGUUUCCUUUCCUCAAUGCCUGACUUCAGAUGACCCAUUUGAAGCAAAGCCCAGGACUUUGGAGGAUGAUCCAAGGCAAAGAACUGCCUUCUGGGUGAGCUGCAUGAGUUUGGAUGAAAAUACAGCACAAUCUGGACAAAUGAUCUGGUCAGCCCAUAAUUCAGUCCCAAGUUACUGGCUUAAUGUUUAAACUGAUUUGCACUGAAUUUUUCUGCUACUCAUUGCCAGAAGCACCCUAACCAACCUGCAUAGAGGACUCCUUUCUCCUAACGUGGAAAACAGAACUGAAGUAGCCUAAUUCGAUGAAAAGACUCAAAGUCCAUGUGUGCAGCAACCAUGUUUGUGUUGUCCACUGCCAUUCCCAGGGCUGACUGGAGAGGCUGCAGAUAGGAGUCACUCAGUACCCAUCUGCAGAAUGAAUGAAUAAAUGAUCAGAAAUGAAUAAAUGAUUAGAAAACAA